CUAUUUAUGUUCAUAAAUAAUUUUAUGCCCAUUUCUUGUGUAUUGAAAGUGGGACAAGCGAGAUAACUCUAAUACUUUUGUUCGGUCUUGUUUUUGGAACAGCCUCAGUAUAUGAUUGAGUACAAUCAGUGGCAGCGCCAUAUUUGUAUGGAAAUACAAUUUUAUUUUUGAACAAGCAAGUUGGCUUACAGCGUGUCCAGUGCACAGUUAAUACAUUUGAUGGACUUCUCGUGGUGUGAUCUUUUGGAUUUCCAAGGAAUUCAGCACAUUUAGAGCCAGUCCAAGAGUGGGAAAUACAGAAAGGGACCCUUGUGAUCAAGCAUUUAUUUUUACUUAGAACAAGAUGAGUACCGGUAAUAGGCCUACAGACUAUGGGGUGGUUACAAAACCAGUUAAUUUACAACAAGAGGAAGUCGCAAGUGACACUCCAACAAGCAACAAUCAUUCAAGCCAAUU
Long non-coding RNA from Saccostrea cuccullata (small rock oyster), 456 nucleotides. RefSeq lists it as uncharacterized. Lineage: Eukaryota; Metazoa; Mollusca; Bivalvia; Ostreida; Ostreidae. The transcript is spliced from 3 exons. The record is from RefSeq and is a predicted model, not a curated record.